Molecule: unclassified non-coding RNA, 329 nt
Filed under: Hevea brasiliensis (rubber tree)
Lineage: Eukaryota; Viridiplantae; Streptophyta; Magnoliopsida; Malpighiales; Euphorbiaceae
Source: RNAcentral
GCGACCGGCGUUAACGACAACCAAAAGACCACUCUCCCCCACAUUUUUCGACGAAGAAGCAGCGUGGUCCAGUGAGGCUUUGUUCGAACUUUAAAAUUUCGUGUUUGUUAAGAGAUCGAUCUGUUCAAAUCCAUCCAAGGCUGUUGAGGUUCACUUAGCUCCCUUUUGAAGAAGACUUGGAUUGCUUUCUCCAAAUUGUGGUGAAUUCUCAAGUUCGAGGUCGGAAUUUUUCAUUUCUUAGAUUUCAUUGUAUUUACCUAUGUUGAGACUUUUCUAUUGAUGUAAGGUCUAAGUCCCAAACUUUGUACUCAUAUGUUUAUAUGGUGUAA